AAGCGCAUGUGCUGUGAGCUCGAUGAGUAGGGCGGGACACGUGGUAUCCUGUCUGAAUAUGGGGGGACCAUCCUCCAAGGCUAAAUACUCCUGACUGACCGAUAGUGAACCAGUACCGUGAGGGAAAGGCGAAAAGAACCCCGGCGAGGGGAGUGAAAAAGAACCUGAAACCGUGUACGUACAAGCAGUGGGAGCACCCUUUGGGGUGUGACUGCGUACCUUUUGUAUAAUGGGUCAGCGACUUAUAUUCUGUAGCAAGGUUAACCGUAUAGGGGAGCCGGAGGGAAACCGAGUCUUAACCGGGCGUUAAGUUGCAGGGUAUAGACCCGAAACCCGGUGAUCUAGCCAUGGGCAGGUUGAAGGUUGGGUAACACUAACUGGAGGACCGAACCGACUAAUGUUGAAAAAUUAGCGGAUGACCUGUGGCUGGGGGUGAAAGGCCAAUCAAACCGGGAGAUAGCUGGUUCUCCCCGAAAGCUAUUUAGGUAGCGCCUCGUGAAUUCAUCUCCGGGGGUAGAGCACUGUUUCGGCUAGGGGGCCAUCCCGGCUUACCAACCCGAUGCAAACUGCGAAUACCGGAGAAUGUUAUCACGGGAGACACACGGCGGGUGCUAACGUCCGUCGUGAAGAGGGAAACAACCCAGACCGCCAGCUAAGGUCCCAAAGUCAUGGUUAAGUGGGAAACGAUGUGGGAAGGCCCAGACAGCCAGGAUGUUGGCUUAGAAGCAGCCAUCAUUUAAAGAAAGCGUAAUAGCUCACUGGUCGAGUCGGCCUGCGCGGAAGAUGUAACGGGGCUAAACCAUGCACCGAAGCUGCGGCAGCGACGCUGAUGCGUUGUUGGGUAGGGGAGCGUUCUGUAAGCCUGCGAAGGUGGCCUGUGAGGGUUGCUGGAGGUAUCAGAAGUGCGAAUGCUGACAUAAGUAACGAUAAAGCGGGUGAAAAGCCCGCUCGCCGGAAGACCAAGGGUUCCUGUCCAACGUUAAUCGGGGCAGGGUGAGUCGACCCCUAAGGCGAGGCCGAAAGGCGUAGUCGAUGGGAAACGGGUUAAUAUUCCCGUACUUGGUGUUACUGCGAAGGGGGGACGGAGAAGGCUAUGUUGGCCGGGCGACGGUUGUCCCGGUUUAAGCGUGUAGGUGUGUGUUCCAGGUAAAUCCGGUUCACUUUAACACUGAGGCGUGAUGACGAGGCACUACGGUGCUGAAGCAACAAAUGCCCUGCUUCCAGGAAAAGCCUCUAAGCAUCAGGUAACAUCAAAUCGUACCCCAAACCGACACAGGUGGUCAGGUAGAGAAUACCAAGGCGCUUGAGAGAACUCGGGUGAAGGAACUAGGCAAAAUGGUGCCGUAACUUCGGGAGAAGGCACGCUGACA
This 1370-nucleotide ribosomal RNA is filed under the name Salmonella enterica subsp. enterica serovar Montevideo. RNAcentral's name for it is "partial 23S ribosomal RNA". It matches the Rfam family "Bacterial large subunit ribosomal RNA", at positions 383 to 1756 of the family's 2925-position model. The record is from RNAcentral. Lineage: Bacteria; Pseudomonadati; Pseudomonadota; Gammaproteobacteria; Enterobacterales; Enterobacteriaceae.